UCCGCCAGNAAAUUACGGGCAAAAGCCUAAAACUCAAAAGACUUGACGGUGCCCCAUCUACCUAGAGGAGCCUGUUUCAUAAUCGACAACCCACGAUAUACCAAACCACUUUUUGAACUUCUCAGCCUAUAUACCGCCGUCACCAGCUUACCUUUUAAAAGAGUUAAAAUAAGCUAAAUAAUAUUAUGUUAACAAGUCAGGUCAAGGUGUAGCACAUAAAGUGGAGAAAAUGGGCUACAUUAUUUAUAUUAAAUAAUACGAAAUAAACCUCUGAAAAAGAAUAUGAAGGCGGAUUUAGCAGUAAUUNAAACAAGAAUAUUNAAAUUAAUAACAGCUCUGGGACAUGUACAC
RNAcentral lists this ribosomal RNA (351 nucleotides) under Echinosaura sp. OTC-2021a. RNAcentral's name for it is "partial small subunit ribosomal RNA". It matches the Rfam family "Bacterial small subunit ribosomal RNA", at positions 868 to 1388 of the family's 1533-position model. The record is from RNAcentral. Lineage: Eukaryota; Metazoa; Chordata; Lepidosauria; Squamata; Gymnophthalmidae.